Molecule: long non-coding RNA, 340 nt
Organism: Oxyura jamaicensis (ruddy duck)
Lineage: Eukaryota; Metazoa; Chordata; Aves; Anseriformes; Anatidae
Exons: 3
Source: RefSeq, a predicted model, not a curated record
GACUCUACAAACUGAUACGCUGAUUCACAGGGAUCUAAAAUAGAUUAUCCUUUUUUUGCAGCUGAAAUUCAGACCUGAAGGUCCACAGAAUCUCUCAGGUGGUAUUCCAGACCUGCAAGAUUUAAAUUUCCAAACUGAAGACCAGAGAUCAAGUUUUGUAUUAUAACUCUCUAGUGAUAAGCACCUCAGGAAUGAGUUUACCUGUCAGAACUGCUUCUCUUCUUGGGAAAAGAGGAGUCCAAGAGUACCACUUCAACUUUUUGCAGAUCUUAGCCUUUUUGUAUUCAACACAUAAAUAAGUUAAUCAAAAUCACAGCUCAGGCAAUUGUCUUAAAUUCCA